RNAcentral lists this ribosomal RNA (660 nucleotides) under uncultured bacterium. RNAcentral describes it as "bacterial SSU rRNA". It matches the Rfam family "Bacterial small subunit ribosomal RNA", at positions 187 to 848 of the family's 1533-position model. The record is from RNAcentral.
ACAUGUCCGCAUGAUUAAAGGUAUUUUCCGGUAGACGAUGGGGAUGCGUUCCAUUAGAUAGUAGGCGGGGUAACGGCCCACCUAGUCAACGAUGGAUAGGGGUUCUGAGAGGAAGGUCCCCCACAUUGGAACUGAGACACGGUCCAAACUCCUACGGGAGGCAGCAGUGAGGAAUAUUGGUCAAUGGGCGAUGGCCUGAACCAGCCAAGUAGCGUGAAGGAUGACUGCCCUAUGGGUUGUAAACUUCUUUUAUAAAGGAAUAAAGUCGGGUAUGCAUACCCGUUUGCAUGUACUUUAUGAAUAAGGAUCGGCUAACUCCGUGCCAGCAGCCGCGGUAAUACGGAGGAUCCGAGCGUUAUCCGGAUUUAUUGGGUUUAAAGGGAGCGUAGAUGGAUGUUUAAGUCAGUUGUGAAAGUUUGCGGCUCAACCGUAAAAUUGCAGUUGAUACUGGAUGUCUUGAGUGCAGUUGAGGCAGGCGGAAUUCGUGGUGUAGCGGUGAAAUGCUUAGAUAUCACGAAGAACUCCGAUUGCGAAGGCAGCCUGCUAAGCUGCAACUGACAUUGAGGCUCGAAAGUGUGGGUAUCAAACAGGAUUAGAUACCCUGGUAGUCCACACGGUAAACGAUGAAUACUCGCUGUUUGCGAUAUACGGCAAGCGGCC